AAGUCGUAACAAGGUCUCCGUUGGUGAACCAGCGGAGGGAUCAUUACAGAGUUGCAAAACUCCCAACCCUUUGUGAACGAACUAGUCAGUUGCCUCGGCGGGGAGCCCUUCAGGGGGUAGCCCGCCGGAGGACCACUAAACUCUUAUUGUAUACCCCCUCGCGGGUUUUUUUUUAUAAUCUGAGCCUUCUCGGCGCCUCUCGUAGGCGUUUCGAAAAUGAAUCAAAACUUUCAACAACGGAUCUCUUGGUUCUG
This 254-nucleotide unclassified non-coding RNA is filed under the name Trichoderma sp. Its description in RNAcentral is "partial internal transcribed spacer region". The stretch from base 1 to 46 matches the Rfam family "Eukaryotic small subunit ribosomal RNA", at positions 1786 to 1831 of the family's 1831-position model. The record is from RNAcentral. Lineage: Eukaryota; Fungi; Ascomycota; Sordariomycetes; Hypocreales; Hypocreaceae.